Molecule: ribosomal RNA, 371 nt
Filed under: uncultured organism
Description: bacterial SSU rRNA
Rfam family: Bacterial small subunit ribosomal RNA
Source: RNAcentral
CGGGGGGGGCAAGCGUUGUUCGGAAUUACUGAGCGUAAAGGGCGCGUAGGCGGUUGGAUAAGUCAGCUGUGAAAACCACGGGCUUAACUCGUGGCCUGCAGUUGAGACUGUCUGGCUUGAGUGUGGGAGAGGAGAGUGGAAUUCCUGGUGUAGCGGUGAAAUGCGUAGAUAUCAGGAGGAACACCGGUGGCGAAGGCGGCUCUCUGGACCACAACUGACGCUGAGGCGCGAAAGCUAGGGGAGCAAACAGGAUUAGAUACCCUGGUAGUCCUAGCUGUAAACGAUGGAUACUUGCUGUGGGGGGUGUUAAAUCCCCUGUGGCGGAGCUAACGCAUUAAGUAUCCCGCCUGGGGAGUACGGUCGCAAGGCUG